This 466-nucleotide ribosomal RNA is filed under the name Vreelandella stevensii. RNAcentral's name for it is "partial 16S ribosomal RNA". It matches the Rfam family "Bacterial small subunit ribosomal RNA", at positions 338 to 795 of the family's 1533-position model. Lineage: Bacteria; Pseudomonadati; Pseudomonadota; Gammaproteobacteria; Oceanospirillales; Halomonadaceae. The record is from RNAcentral.
CCUACGGGAGGCAGCAGUGGGGAAUAUUGGACAAUGGGGGCAACCCUGAUCCAGCCAUGCCGCGUGUGUGAAGAAGGCCCUCGGGUUGUAAAGCACUUUCAGUGAGGAAGAACGCCUGGUGGUUAAUACCCAUCAGGAAAGACAUCACUCACAGAAGAAGCACCGGCUAACUCCGUGCCAGCAGCCGCGGUAAUACGGAGGGGUGCGAGCGUUAAUCGGAAUUACUGGGCGUAAAGCGCGCGUAGGUGGCUUGAUAAGCCGGUUGUGAAAGCCCCGGGCUCAACCUGGGAACGGCAUCCGGAACUGUCAAGCUAGAGUGCAGGAGAGGAAGGUAGAAUUCCCGGUGUAGCGGUGAAAUGCGUAGAGAUCGGGAGGAAUACCAGUGGCGAAGGCGGCCUUCUGGACUGACACUGACACUGAGGUGCGAAAGCGUGGGUAGCAAACAGGAUUAGAUACCCGGGUAGUC